This is a non-coding RNA of Gossypium raimondii (Peruvian cotton), 144 nucleotides long. Lineage: Eukaryota; Viridiplantae; Streptophyta; Magnoliopsida; Malvales; Malvaceae. The record is from Rfam.
UGUUAAAACUUUGUUCCUUUCUACUAUUAAAAACUUGCUUGACUGAUAGAAUAACCAAAUAGUGACACGUGGCGUACCACUUGUAUUUUAUGCUGACAUACAAGAAUCGAUUUUUAACAGUAGAAAUAGAUGAAAUUUUUAACA